GGUUAAGCGACUAAGCGUACACGGUGGAUGCCCUGGCAGUCAGAGGCGAUGAAGGGCGUGCUAAUCUGCGAUAAGCGCCGGUAAGGUGAUAUGAACCGUUAUAACCGGCGAUACCCGAAUGGGGAAACCCAGUGUGAUUCGUCACACUAUCAUUAACUGAAUCCAUAGGUUAAUGAGGCGAACCGGGGGAACUGAAACAUCUAAGUACCCCGAGGAAAAGAAAUCAACCGAGAUUCCCCCAGUAGCGGCGAGCGAACGGGGAGGAGCCCAGAGCCUGAAUCAGCAUGUGUGUUAGUGGAAGCGUCUGGAAAGGCGCGCGAUACAGGGUGACAGCCCCGUACACAAAAGCGCAUGUGCUGUGAGCUCGAUGAGUAGGGCGGGACACGUGGUAUCCUGUCUGAAUAUGGGGGGACCAUCCUCCAAGGCUAAAUACUCCUGACUGACCGAUAGUGAACCAGUACCGUGAGGGAAAGGCGAAAAGAACCCCGGCGAGGGGAGUGAAAAAGAACCUGAAACCGUGUACGUACA
RNAcentral lists this ribosomal RNA (528 nucleotides) under Salmonella enterica subsp. enterica serovar Mississippi str. A4-633. RNAcentral's name for it is "LSU rRNA". It matches the Rfam family "Bacterial large subunit ribosomal RNA", at positions 1 to 568 of the family's 2925-position model. Lineage: Bacteria; Pseudomonadati; Pseudomonadota; Gammaproteobacteria; Enterobacterales; Enterobacteriaceae. The record is from RNAcentral.